RNAcentral lists this ribosomal RNA (468 nucleotides) under uncultured bacterium. Its description in RNAcentral is "partial 16S ribosomal RNA". It matches the Rfam family "Bacterial small subunit ribosomal RNA", at positions 28 to 507 of the family's 1533-position model. The record is from RNAcentral.
GACGAACGCUGGCGGCGUGCUUAACACAUGCAAGUCGAACGGAAAGGCCCUGCUUUUGUGGGGUGCUCGAGUGGCGAACGGGUGAGUAACACGUGAGUAACCUGCCCUUGACUUUGGGAUAACUUCAGGAAACUGGGGCUAAUACCGGAUAGGAGCUCCUGCUGCAUGGUGGGGGUUGGAAAGUUUCGGCGGUUGGGGAUGGACUCGCGGCUUAUCAGCUUGUUGGUGGGGUAGUGGCUUACCAAGGCUUUGACGGGUAGCCGGCCUGAGAGGGUGACCGGCCACAUUGGGACUGAGAUACGGCCAAGACUCCUACGGGAGGCAGCAGUGGGGAAUAGUGCACAAUGGGCGGAAGCCUGAUGCAGCAACGCCGCGUGCGGAAUGACGGCCUUCGGGUUGUAAACCGCUUUCGCCUGUGACGAAGCGUGAGUGACGGUAAUGGGUAAAGAAGCACCGGCUAACUACGUG